GAUGAACGCUGGCGGCGUGCUUAACACAUGCAAGUCGAACGAACCUUCGGGUUAGUGGCGGACGGGUGAGUAACGCGUGAGAAUCUGCCCUCAGGAGGGGGAUAACGGUUGGAAACGACCGCUAAUACCCCAUAUGCCGAUAGGUGAAAUGAAUUUCGCCUGAGGAUGAGCUCGCGUCUGAUUAGCUUGUUGGUGAGGUAAUGGCUCACCAAGGCUUCGAUCAGUAGCUGGUCUGAGAGGAUGAUCAGCCACACUGGGACUGAGACACGGCCCAGACUCCUACGGGAGGCAGCAGUGGGGAAUUUUCCGCAAUGGGCGAAAGCCUGACGGAGCAACGCCGCGUGAGGGACGAAGGCCUCUGGGCUGUAAACCUCUUUUCUCAAGGAAGAAGAUAUGACGGUACUUGAGGAAUAAGCCACGGCUAAUUCCGUGCCAGCAGCCGCGGUAAUACGGGAGUGGCAAGCGUUAUCCGGAAUUAUUGGGCGUAAAGCGUCCGCAGGCGGCCUUUCAAGUCUGCUGUUAAAGCGUGGAGCUUAACUCCAUUAUGGCAGUGGAAACUGAUCGGCUUGAGUAUGGUAGGGGCAGAGGGAAUUCCCGGUGUAGCGGUGAAAUGCGUAGAUAUCGGGAAGAACACCAGUGGCGAAGGCGCUCUGCUGGGCCAUUACUGACGCUCAUGGACGAAAGCCAGGGGAGCGAAAGGGAUUAGAUACCCCUGUAGUCCUGGCCGUAAACGAUGAACACUAGGUGUCGGGGGAAUCGACCCCUUCGGUGUCGUAGCUAACGCGUUAAGUGUUCCGCCUGGGGAGUACGCACGCAAGUGUGAAACUCAAAGGAAUUGACGGGGGCCCGCACAAGCGGUGGAGUAUGUGGUUUAAUUCGAUGCAACGCGAAGAGCCUUACCAGGGUUUGACAUCCUGAGAACCUCUUAGAAAUUUGAGGGUGCCUUCGGGAAUUCAGUGACAGGUGGUGCAUGGCUGUCGUCAGCUCGUGUCGUGAGAUGUUGGGUUAAGUCCCGCAACGAGCGCAACCCACGUUUUUAGUUGCCAGCAUUUAGUUGGGCACUCUAGAAAGACCGCCGGUGAUAAACCGGAGGAAGGUGUGGAUGACGUCAAGUCAUCAUGCCCCUUACACCCUGGGCUACACACGUACUACAAUGCUACGGACAAAGGGCAGCAAACUCGCGAGAGCUAGCAAAUCCCAUAAACCGUGGCUCAGUUCAGAUCGUAGGCUGCAACUCGCCUACGUGAAGUAGGAAUCGCUAGUAAUCGCAGGUCAGCAUACUGCGGUGAAUACGUUCCCGGGCCUUGUACACACCGCCCGUCACACCAUGGAAGUUGGCCAUGCCCGAAGUCGUUACUCCAACCCUUGUGGAGGAGGACGCCGAAGGUGGGGCUAAUGACUGGGGUGAAGUCGUAACAAGGUAGCCGUACCGGAAGGUGCGGCUGGAUCACCUCCU
RNAcentral lists this ribosomal RNA (1456 nucleotides) under uncultured marine bacterium. RNAcentral's name for it is "16S ribosomal RNA". It matches the Rfam family "Bacterial small subunit ribosomal RNA". The record is from RNAcentral.